GUGCUUGCUUUGGCAGCAUAUAUACUAAAAUUGGAACGAUACAGAGAAGAUUAGCAUGGCCCCUGAACAAGAAUGACAUGCAAAUUCGUGAAGCGUUUCAUAUUAAA
This is a small nuclear RNA of Ictidomys tridecemlineatus (thirteen-lined ground squirrel), 107 nucleotides long. NCBI's taxonomy places the organism in Eukaryota, Metazoa, Chordata, Mammalia, Rodentia, Sciuridae. The record is from Ensembl.